Molecule: ribosomal RNA, 495 nt
Filed under: uncultured bacterium
Lineage: Bacteria
Description: partial 16S ribosomal RNA
Rfam family: Bacterial small subunit ribosomal RNA
Source: RNAcentral
GACGAACGCUGGCGGCGUGCCUAAUACAUGCAAGUAGAACGCUGAAGGAGGAGCUUGCUCUUCUGGAUGAGUUGCGAACGGGUGAGUAACGCGUAGGUAACCUGCCUGGUAGCGGGGGAUAACUAUUGGAAACGAUAGCUAAUACCGCAUAACAGUAGAUGUUGCAUGACAUUUACUUAAAAGGUGCAAUUGCAUCACUACCAGAUGGACCUGCGUUGUAUUAGCUAGUUGGUGGGGUAACGGCUCACCAAGGCGACGAUACAUAGCCGACCCGAGAGGGUGAUCGGCCACACUGGGACUGAGACACGGCCCAGACUCCUACGGGAGGCAGCAGGAGGGAAUCUUCGGCAAUGGACGGAAGUCUGACCGAGCAACGCCGCGGGAGGGAAGAAGGUUUUCGGAUCGUAAAGCUCUGUUGUAAGAGAAGAACGAGUGUGAGAGUGGAAAGUUCACACUGUGACGGUAUCUUACCAGAAAGGGACGGCUAACUACGUG